GGUUUAGUGGUCUAGUGGUUAUGAUUUCUGUCUCACAUCGAACGAUACGCGUAGUACACAGAAGAUCCCCAGUUCGACCCUGGGCUGAACCA
Non-coding RNA from Crucibulum laeve, 92 nucleotides. NCBI's taxonomy places the organism in Eukaryota, Fungi, Basidiomycota, Agaricomycetes, Agaricales, Nidulariaceae. The record is from the annotation of a GenBank genome assembly.